Molecule: ribosomal RNA, 489 nt
Filed under: uncultured bacterium
Lineage: Bacteria
Description: bacterial SSU rRNA
Rfam family: Bacterial small subunit ribosomal RNA
Source: RNAcentral
AACGCUGGCGCGUGCCUAACACAUGCAAGUCGAACGGAGUUAUGUCACGAAGUUCUUCGGAGCGGACGACAUAGCUUAGUGGCGGACGGGUGAGUAACGCGUGAGCAACCUGCCUUUCAGAGGGGGACAACGGUUGGAAACGACCGCUAAUACCGCAUGAAAUGACUGGACCGCAUGAUCCGGUCAUCAAAGAUUUUUAUCGCUGAAAGAUGGGGCUCGCGUCUGAUUUAGAUAGUUGGUGGGUAACGGCCCACCAAGUCGACGAUCAGUAGCCGGACUGAGAGGUUGAACGGCCACAUUGGGACUGAGAUACGGCCCAGACUCCUACGGGAGGCAGCAGUGGGGAAUAUUGGGCAAAUGGGGGCAACCCUGACCCAGCAACGCCGCGUGAAGGAAGAAGGCUUUCGGGUUGUAAACUUCUUUACCGAGGACGAAGGACGUGACGGUACUCGGAGAAAAAGCCACGGCUAACUACGUGCCAGCCGCAGC